Cavia aperea (Brazilian guinea pig) is the source of this 103-nucleotide small nuclear RNA. The record is from Ensembl. NCBI's taxonomy places the organism in Eukaryota, Metazoa, Chordata, Mammalia, Rodentia, Caviidae.
GUACUCGCUUAGGCAGCAUAUAUACUAAAAUUGGAACGAUACAGAGAAUAUUAGCAUAACCCCAAAGCAUGCCACUCAAAUUUGUGAAAAGUCUACAUUUUAU